CACGCCGUAAACGAUGAUCACUGGGUGCCGGCGACACACCGUCGGUGCCUGAGCGAAAGCAUUAAGUGAUCCACCUGGGGAGUACGAUCGCAAGGUUGAAACUCAAAGGAAUUGACGGGGGCCCGCACAAGCGGAGGAACAUGUGGUUUAAUUCGAUGAUACGCGAGGAACCUUACCUGGGCUCGAACGCAUUCGGAAGCGCACGGAAACGUGCGUGCCAGCGAUGGCCGUUUGCGAGGUGC
This 242-nucleotide ribosomal RNA is filed under the name uncultured Bacteroidota bacterium. RNAcentral describes it as "uncultured Bacteroidetes bacterium partial 16S ribosomal RNA". It matches the Rfam family "Bacterial small subunit ribosomal RNA", at positions 796 to 1041 of the family's 1533-position model. Lineage: Bacteria; Pseudomonadati; Bacteroidota. The record is from RNAcentral.